This 855-nucleotide ribosomal RNA is filed under the name Acinetobacter sp. Its description in RNAcentral is "bacterial SSU rRNA". It matches the Rfam family "Bacterial small subunit ribosomal RNA", at positions 24 to 873 of the family's 1533-position model. The record is from RNAcentral. Lineage: Bacteria; Pseudomonadati; Pseudomonadota; Gammaproteobacteria; Moraxellales; Moraxellaceae.
UCAGAUUGAACGCUGGCGGCAGGCUUAACACAUGCAAGUCGAGCGGAUGAAGGUAGCUUGCUACUGGAUUCAGCGGCGGACGGGUGAGUAAUGCUUAGGAAUCUGCCUAUUAGUGGGGGACAACGUUCCGAAAGGAGCGCUAAUACCGCAUACGUCCUACGGGAGAAAGCAGGGGACCUUUGGGCCUUGCGCUAAUAGAUGAGCCUAAGUCGGAUUAGCUAGUUGGUAGGGUAAAGGCCUACCAAGGCGACGAUCUGUAGCGGGUCUGAGAGGAUGAUCCGCCACACUGGGACUGAGACACGGCCCAGACUCCUACGGGAGGCAGCAGUGGGGAAUAUUGGACAAUGGGGGGAACCCUGAUCCAGCCAUGCCGCGUGUGUGAAGAAGGCCUUUUGGUUGUAAAGCACUUUAAGCGAGGAGGAGGCUACCUAGAUUAAUACUUUAGGAUAGUGGACGUUACUCGCAGAAUAAGCACCGGCUAACUCUGUGCCAGCAGCCGCGGUAAUACAGAGGGUGCGAGCGUUAAUCGGAUUUACUGGGCGUAAAGCGUGCGUAGGCGGCCAAUUAAGUCAAAUGUGAAAUCCCCGAGCUUAACUUGGGAAUUGCAUUCGAUACUGGUUGGCUAGAGUAUGGGAGAGGAUGGUAGAAUUCCAGGUGUAGCGGUGAAAUGCGUAGAGAUCUGGAGGAAUACCGAUGGCGAAGGCAGCCAUCUGGCCUAAUACUGACGCUGAGGUACGAAAGCAUGGGGAGCAAACAGGAUUAGAUACCCUGGUAGUCCAUGCCGUAAACGAUGUCUACUAGCCGUUGGGGCCCUUGAGGCUUUAGUGGCGCAGCUAACGCGAUAAGUAGACCGCC